GACACGGCCCAAACUCCUACGGGAGGCAGCAGUAGGGAAUUUUCGUCAAUGGGGGGAACCCUGAACGAGCAAUGCCGCGUGAGUGAGGAAGGUCUUCGGAUCGUAAAGCUCUGUUGUAAGAGAAAAAUGGCACUCAUAGGGAAUGAUGAGUGAGUGAUGGUAUCUUACCAGAAAGUCACGGCUAACUACGUGCCAGCAGCCGCGGUAAUACGUAGGUGGCGAGCGUUAUCCGGAAUGAUUGGGCGUAAAGGGUGCGUAGGUGGCAGAUCAAGUCUGGAGUAAAAGGUAUGGGCUCAACCCGUACUGGCUCUGGAAACUGAUCAGCUAGAGAACAGAAGAGGACGGCGGAACUCCAUGUGUAGCGGUAAAAUGCGUAGAUAUAUGGAAGAACACCGGUGGCGAAGGCGGCCGUCUGGUCUGGAUUCUGACACUGAAGCACGAAAGCGUGGGGAGCAAAUAGGAUUAGAUACCCUAGUAGUCCACGCCGUAAACGAUGAGAACUAGGUGUUGGGGGAAUAACUCAGUGCCGCAGUUAACGCAGUAAGUUCUCCGCCUGGGGAGUAUGCACGCAAGUGUGAAACUCAAAGGAAUUGACGGGGGCCCGCACAAGCGGUGGAGUAUGUGGUUUAAUUCGAAGCAACGCGAAGAACCUUACCAGGCCUUGACAUCCCUUGCAGAGGUAUAGAGAUAUAUCCGAGGUUAUCAAGGAGACAGGUGGUGCAUGGUUGUCGUCAGCUCGUGUCGUGAGAUGUUGGGUUAAGUCCCGCAACGAGCGCAACCCUUGUGAUAUGUUACUAACAUUGAGUUGAGGACUCAUAUCAGACUGCCGGUGAUAAACCGGAGGAAGGUGGGGAUGACGUCAAAUCAUCAUGCCCCUUAUGGCCUGGGCUACACACGUACUACAAUGGCGUCUACAAAGAGCGGCAAGCCUGUGAAGGCAAGCGAAUCUCAUAAAGGGCGUCUCAGUUCGGAUUGAAGUCUGCAACCCGACUUCAUGAAGCUGGAAUCGCUAGUAAUCGCGAAUCAGCAUGUCGCGGUGAAUACGUUCUCGGGCCUUGUACACACCGCCCGUCAAACCAUGGGAGUUGGUAAUGCCCGAAGCCGGUGGCAUAACCCUUCGGGGAGUGAGCCGUCGAAGGCAGGACCGAUGACUGGGGUUAAGUCGUAACAAGGUAUCCCUACGGGAACGUGGGGAUG
This 1197-nucleotide ribosomal RNA is filed under the name human gut metagenome. RNAcentral's name for it is "bacterial SSU rRNA". It matches the Rfam family "Bacterial small subunit ribosomal RNA", at positions 323 to 1520 of the family's 1533-position model. The record is from RNAcentral.